RNAcentral lists this ribosomal RNA (253 nucleotides) under uncultured bacterium. RNAcentral describes it as "partial 16S ribosomal RNA". It matches the Rfam family "Bacterial small subunit ribosomal RNA", at positions 524 to 776 of the family's 1533-position model. The record is from RNAcentral.
UACAGAGGGUGCGAGCGUUGUUCGGAAUCAUUGGGCGUAAAGCGCUUGUAGGCGGCCUGUCAAGUCGCGUGUGAAAUCCCUUGGCUUAACCAAGGAAGUGCGCGCGAAACUGGCGGGCUUGAGUGCCGGAGAGGGUCGCGGAAUUCCCGGUGUAGAGGUGAAAUUCGCAGAUAUCGGGAAGAACACCCGUGGCGAAGGCGGCUCUCUGGGACGGUACUGACGCUGAGACGCGAAAGCGUGGGGAGCGAACAGG